This is a non-coding RNA of Schistosoma margrebowiei, 45 nucleotides long. The record is from Rfam. Lineage: Eukaryota; Metazoa; Platyhelminthes; Trematoda; Strigeidida; Schistosomatidae.
AUCCAGCUGACAAGUCCCAAAUAGGAUGAAACGCAUAUUCUGGAU